This 306-nucleotide ribosomal RNA is filed under the name uncultured bacterium. Its description in RNAcentral is "partial 16S ribosomal RNA". It matches the Rfam family "Bacterial small subunit ribosomal RNA", at positions 507 to 807 of the family's 1533-position model. The record is from RNAcentral.
GACAGCAGCAGCCGCGGGAAUACGAAGGGGGCUAGCGUUGUUCGGAAUUACUGGGCGUAAAGGGCGCGUAGGCGGCCAUUCAAGUUAGAUGUGAAAGCCCUGGGCUCAACCUAGGAAUUGCAUUUGAUACUGUUUGGCUUGAGUUCGGGAGAGGUGAGUGGAAUUCCCAGUGUAGAGGUGAAAUUCGUAGAUAUUGGGAAGAACACCAGUGGCGAAGGCGGCUCACUGGACCGACACUGACGCUGAGGCGCGAAAGCGUGGGGAGCAAACAGGAUUAGAUACCCCCGUAGUCCCUGUCUCUUAUAC